RNAcentral lists this ribosomal RNA (251 nucleotides) under uncultured bacterium. RNAcentral's name for it is "partial 16S ribosomal RNA". It matches the Rfam family "Bacterial small subunit ribosomal RNA", at positions 524 to 775 of the family's 1533-position model. The record is from RNAcentral.
UACGUAGGCAGCGAGCGUUGUUCGGAAUUACUGGGCGUAAAGAGUGUGUAGGCGGUGCUCUAAGUUCGGUGUGAAAUCUCCUGCUUAACUGGGAGGGUGCGCCGGAAACUGGAGUGCUUGAGCGUGGGAGAGGAAAGCGGAAUUCCUGGUGUAGCGGUGAAAUGCGUAGAUAUCAGGAGGAACACCUGUGGUGUAGACGGCUUUCUGGACCAUUGCUGACGCUGAGACACGAAAGCGUGGGUAGCAACAGG